GCCUGUUUAGCAUAGUGGCUAAUGCGUUGCACUUGUAUCACAUCGACGAUAUGCAAAGAUCACUGGUUCGAUUCCAGUAACAGGCA
Molecule: transfer RNA, 86 nt
Filed under: Lasiosphaeria miniovina
Lineage: Eukaryota; Fungi; Ascomycota; Sordariomycetes; Sordariales; Lasiosphaeriaceae
Rfam family: tRNA
About the family: Transfer RNA (tRNA) molecules are approximately 80 nucleotides in length. Their secondary structure includes four short double-helical elements and three loops (D, anti-codon, and T loops).
Source: Rfam by way of RNAcentral